RNAcentral lists this unclassified non-coding RNA (276 nucleotides) under Hevea brasiliensis (rubber tree). Lineage: Eukaryota; Viridiplantae; Streptophyta; Magnoliopsida; Malpighiales; Euphorbiaceae. The record is from RNAcentral.
GAGUAGGGUCGGAGGGGUAGAGAAAGAAAACGGCAGCAGAGAGGAGGAGGAUGGCGGAAGCGAAGAGGAUGCAGCGGCGGGGGAAGACGAGGGAAGGGUUGGGAGGGGGGCGGGGGUAGGAAAGAACGAUGACGUUUUGGGGAACAGGGUGAGAAGGUACAGAAGAAUAGCGAACGGAAGAGGAUUUUGAAGUCAUGGCUUCAGAUUUCAGGGAAACGUCGGUGAUGUUGUCCUGCUCCUGGGCUUAAUAUGAUUGCUAAACCAAACGCCCCUUUG